RNAcentral lists this ribosomal RNA (429 nucleotides) under Triticum aestivum (bread wheat). RNAcentral's name for it is "partial small subunit ribosomal RNA". Lineage: Eukaryota; Viridiplantae; Streptophyta; Magnoliopsida; Poales; Poaceae. The record is from RNAcentral.
AUGCACUAUGCUGAUGGUACUCUACUCUUCCUAGACAAGAACCUAGACCAUGCUAAAAACCUUAAAUGGCUUUUAUCUUGCUUUGAGCAAAUUUCUGGCAUGAGGACUAAUUUUCAUAAAUGUGACCUUGUUCCUAUUAAUAUUGAUAGAGACGAGGCUUUAGUUUUUGCUCAAAUAUUAGGGUGUAAAAUUAGUUCUUUCCCUAUUAAGUACUUGGGUGCCCCUCUGCACUUUAGCAAGAUCAGAAGAGAGGAUCUUCGACCUACUGUUGAUAAGAUAAUCAAGAAAGCUGCUGGGUGGAGAGGGAGGCUGCUUUCCUUUGGCAAGAGACUCAUUUUAGUCCAAGCCUGCUUAGCUAGUAUCCCAACUUAUCUGAUGGGUUUCAUAAAAUUCCCUAAGUGGCUAUUAAACUCAUUAACUCCCAAUUAG